AGAUGAUUGGGGUGAAGUCGUAACAAGGUAUCCCUACCGGAAGGUGGGGAUGGAUCACCUCCUUUCU
This 67-nucleotide ribosomal RNA is filed under the name Hazenella coriacea. RNAcentral describes it as "partial 16S ribosomal RNA". It matches the Rfam family "Bacterial small subunit ribosomal RNA", at positions 1469 to 1533 of the family's 1533-position model. The record is from RNAcentral. Lineage: Bacteria; Bacillati; Bacillota; Bacilli; Caryophanales; Thermoactinomycetaceae.